This 501-nucleotide ribosomal RNA is filed under the name Bifidobacterium longum subsp. infantis. Its description in RNAcentral is "bacterial SSU rRNA". It matches the Rfam family "Bacterial small subunit ribosomal RNA", at positions 182 to 698 of the family's 1533-position model. The record is from RNAcentral. Lineage: Bacteria; Bacillati; Actinomycetota; Actinomycetes; Bifidobacteriales; Bifidobacteriaceae.
CUGUUCGCAUGGUUUUCUGGGAAAGCUUUCGCGGUAUGGGAUGGGGUCGCGUCCUAUCAGCUUGACGGCGGGGUAACGGCCCACCGUGGCUUCGACGGGUAGCCGGCCUGAGAGGGCGACCGGCCACAUUGGGACUGAGAUACGGCCCAGACUCCUACGGGAGGCAGCAGUGGGGAAUAUUGCACAAUGGGCGCAAGCCUGAUGCAGCGACGCCGCGUGAGGGAUGGAGGCCUUCGGGUUGUAAACCUCUUUUAUCGGGGAGCAAGCGAGAGUGAGUUUACCCGUUGAAUAAGCACCGGCUAACUACGUGCCAGCAGCCGCGGUAAUACGUAGGGUGCAAGCGUUAUCCGGAAUUAUUGGGCGUAAAGGGCUCGUAGGCGGUUCGUCGCGUCCGGUGUGAAAGUCCAUCGCUUAACGGUGGAUCCGCGCCGGGUACGGGCGGGCUUGAGUGCGGUAGGGGAGACUGGAAUUCCCGGUGUAACGGUGGAAUGUGUAGAUAUC